RNAcentral lists this transfer RNA (69 nucleotides) under Synapha fasciata. Its description in RNAcentral is "tRNA-Tyr". It matches the Rfam family "tRNA". From Rfam's summary of the family: Transfer RNA (tRNA) molecules are approximately 80 nucleotides in length. Their secondary structure includes four short double-helical elements and three loops (D, anti-codon, and T loops). The record is from RNAcentral. Lineage: Eukaryota; Metazoa; Arthropoda; Insecta; Diptera; Mycetophilidae.
GAUUAAAUGGCUGAAAUAUUAAGCAAUAAAUUGUAAAUUUAUAUAUGAAAUUAAAAUUUUCUUUAAUCA